Molecule: ribosomal RNA, 257 nt
Filed under: Polyscias sessiliflora
Lineage: Eukaryota; Viridiplantae; Streptophyta; Magnoliopsida; Apiales; Araliaceae
Source: RNAcentral
GUGCUUGGGCGAGAGUAGUACUAGGAUGGGUGACCCCCUGGGAAGUCCUCGUGUUGCACCCCCUCCUUCUUUUAGCAUCUAUUUUCCAUUUUGGGGAAAAUGGUGAAAGGAAAUGCGCGUACGAGUGGACGUGGCUUAGUGAACACGCACGCGCGACGUAAAACUCAAAACGCGCGACACCGACACGUGGAAAUAUAGGAACAAAAUCGGACAGUCCUAAAAGUUGGGCAUAUAGAAGUAAAAACGGAUAAGGAAAA